UGAGGAAUACUGGGCAAUGCCCGCAAGGGUGACCCAGCAACGCCGCGUGGAGGAUGAAUGUCGUAAGAUUGUAAACUCCUGUUAGAGGGGAAGAAUAGUACCGGUUGGACCGGUAUAUGACUGUACCCUCAGAGAAAGCCCCGGCUAACUACGUGCCAGCAGCCGCGGUAAUACGUAGGGGGCAAGCGUUGUCCGGAUUUACUGGGUGUAAAGGGCGCGCAGGCGGGAUAAAAAGUCAGUGGUGAAAUCCUACAGCUUAACUGUAGAACUGCCUUUGAUACUUUUAUUCUUGAGUUCGGGAGAGAGAGACGGAAUUCCAGGUGUAGUGGUGAAAUACGUAGAUAUCUGGAAGAACACCAGUUGCGAAGGCGGUCUCUUGGUCCGACACUGACGCUGAGGCGCGAAAGCGUGGGGAGCAAACA
This 422-nucleotide ribosomal RNA is filed under the name uncultured bacterium. Its description in RNAcentral is "bacterial SSU rRNA". It matches the Rfam family "Bacterial small subunit ribosomal RNA", at positions 355 to 774 of the family's 1533-position model. The record is from RNAcentral.